This 441-nucleotide ribosomal RNA is filed under the name uncultured bacterium. RNAcentral describes it as "partial 16S ribosomal RNA". It matches the Rfam family "Bacterial small subunit ribosomal RNA", at positions 338 to 795 of the family's 1533-position model. The record is from RNAcentral.
CCUACGGGUGACUGCAGUGGGGAAUAUUGCACAAUGGGGGAAACCCUGAUGCAGCGACGCCGCGUGAGUGAAGAAGUAUUUCGGUAUGUAAAGCUCUAUCAGCAGGGAAGCAGAAAGACGGUACCUGACGAAGAAGCCCCGGCUAACUACGUGCCAGCAGCCGCGGCAAUACGUAGGGGGCCAGCGUUAUCCGGAAUUACUGGGGGUAAAGGGAGCGUAGGCGGCUGUGCAAGUCUGAAGUGAAAGCCCAGGGCUCAACCCUGGGACUGCUUUGGAAACUGUGGAGCUGGAGUGCUGGAGAGGUAAGUGGAAUUCCUAGUGUAGCGGUGAAAUGCGUAGAUAUUAGGAGGAACACCAGUGGCGAAGGCGGCUUACUGGACAGUAACUGACGUUGAGGCUCGAAAGCGUGGGGAGCAAACAGGAUUAGAUACCCUGGUAGUC